GUAGUCCACGCCGUAAACGAUGAUAACUAGCUGUCCGGGCACUUGGUGCCUGGGUGGCGCAGCUAACGCAUUAAGUUAUCCGCCUGGGGAGUACGGUCGCAAGAUUAAAACUCAAAGGAUUGACGGGGGCCUGCACAAGAGGUGGAGCAUGUGGUUUAAUUCGAAGCAACGCGCAGAACCUUACCAACGUUUGACAUGGCUAGUAUGGUUUCCAGAGAUGGAUUCCUUCAGUUCGGCUGGCUAGCACACAGGUGCUGCAUGGCUGUCGUCAGCUCGUGUCGUGAG
This 285-nucleotide ribosomal RNA is filed under the name uncultured bacterium. RNAcentral describes it as "partial 16S ribosomal RNA". It matches the Rfam family "Bacterial small subunit ribosomal RNA", at positions 790 to 1071 of the family's 1533-position model. The record is from RNAcentral.